AAGGUUGAUGGUUAAAUUUGACU
RNAcentral lists this microRNA (23 nucleotides) under Gossypium raimondii (Peruvian cotton). RNAcentral's name for it is "gra-miR8676". Lineage: Eukaryota; Viridiplantae; Streptophyta; Magnoliopsida; Malvales; Malvaceae. The record is from miRBase by way of RNAcentral.